RNAcentral lists this ribosomal RNA (495 nucleotides) under uncultured bacterium. Its description in RNAcentral is "bacterial SSU rRNA". It matches the Rfam family "Bacterial small subunit ribosomal RNA", at positions 30 to 518 of the family's 1533-position model. The record is from RNAcentral.
UGAACGCUAGCGGCAGGCUUAACACAUGCAAGUCGAGGGGCAGCGGGAUGUAGCAAUACAUUGCCGGCGACCGGCGGAUGGGUGCGUAACGCGUAUGCAACCUACCUUAUACAGGGAAUAACCUUUCGAAAGGGAGACUAACACCCCAUGGUAUUGAUUUAAGGCAUCUUAGAUUAAUUAAAUAUUUAUAGGUAUAAGAUGGGCAUGCGUAUGAUUAGCUAGUUGGUAAGGUAACGGCUUACCAAGGCGACGAUCAUUAGGGGUUCUGAGAGGAAGGUCCCCCACACUGGUACUGAGACACGGACCAGACUCCUACGGGAGGCAGCAGUGAGGAAUAUUGGUCAAUGGGCGCAAGCCUGAACCAGCCAUGCCGCGUGCAGGAAAGACGGCCUUAUGGGUUGUAAACUGCUUUUACAUAAGACUAACCGUAUAUUUGCGAAUAUACCUGAAUGUAUUAUGAGAAUAAGGAUCGGCUAACUCCGUGCCAGCCGCAGC